UGCAGUCGANCGGCAGCACGGGGGCAACCCCGGUGGCGAGUGGCGAACGGGUGAGUAACAUAUCGGAACGUGCCCUGGAGUGGGGGAUAACUAGUCGAAAGAUUAGCUAAUACCGCAUACGAUCUACGGAUGAAAGUGGGGGAUCGCAAGACCUCAUGCUCGUGGAGCGGCCGAUAUCUGAUUAGCUAGUUGGUGGGGUAAAGGCCUACCAAGGCAUCGAUCAGUAGCUGGUCUGAGGGGACGACCAGCCACACUGGGACUGAGACACGGCCCAGACUCCUACGGGAGGCAGCAGUGGGGAAUUUUGGACAAUGGGCGCAAGCCUGAUCCAGCAAUGCCGCGUGAGUGAAGAAGGCCUUCGGGUUGUAAAGCUCUUUUGUCAGGGAAGAAACGGUUCGGGUUAAUACCUUGGGCUAAUGACGGUACCUGAAGAAUAAGCACCGGCUAACUACGUGCCAGCAGCCGCGGUAAUACGUAGGGUGCAAGCGUUAAUCGGAAUUACUGGGCGUAAAGCGUGCGCAGGCGGUUGUGCAAGACAGAUGUGAAAUCCCCGGGCUCAACCUGGGAAUUGCAUUUGUGACUGUACGGCUAGAGUGUGUCAGAGGGGGGUAGAAUUCCACGUGUAGCAGUGAAAUGCGUAGAGAUGUGGAGGAAUACCGAUGGCGAANGCAGCCCCCUGGGAUAACACUGACGCUCAUGCACGAAAGCGUGGGGAGCAAACAGGAUUAGAUACCCUNNAGUCCACGCCCUAAACGAUGUCUACUAGUUGUCGGGUCUUUAUUGACUUGGUAACGCAGCUAACGCGUGAAGUAGACCGCCUGGGGAGUANNGUCGCAAGAUUAAAACUCAAAGGNAUUGACGGGGACCCGCACAAGCGGUGGNUGACGUGG
Molecule: ribosomal RNA, 890 nt
Filed under: uncultured bacterium
Lineage: Bacteria
Description: bacterial SSU rRNA
Rfam family: Bacterial small subunit ribosomal RNA
Source: RNAcentral